This 253-nucleotide ribosomal RNA is filed under the name uncultured bacterium. Its description in RNAcentral is "partial 16S ribosomal RNA". It matches the Rfam family "Bacterial small subunit ribosomal RNA", at positions 524 to 776 of the family's 1533-position model. The record is from RNAcentral.
UACAGAGGUCUCGAGCGUUGUUCGGAUUCAUUGGGCGUAAAGGGCGCGUAGGCGGCGCGGUAAGUCGGGUGUGAAAUCUCGGAGCUUAACUCCGAAACUGCAUUCGAUACUACCGUGCUUGAGGACUGGAGAGGAGACUGGAAUUUACGGUGUAGCGGUGAAAUGCGUAGAUAUCGUAAGGAAGACCAGUGGCGAAGGCGGGUCUCUGGACAGUUCCUGACGCUGAGGCACGAAGGUCAGGGGAGCAAACGGG